This 85-nucleotide transfer RNA is filed under the name Propionibacteriaceae bacterium. RNAcentral's name for it is "tRNA-Ser". It matches the Rfam family "tRNA". From Rfam's summary of the family: Transfer RNA (tRNA) molecules are approximately 80 nucleotides in length. The record is from RNAcentral. Lineage: Bacteria; Bacillati; Actinomycetota; Actinomycetes; Propionibacteriales; Propionibacteriaceae.
GGCGAGGUCGCAUAGUGGUCUAGUGCAGCCGCCUUGAAAGCGGCCGAGGUGAGAGCCUCCGUGGGUUCGAAUCCCACCCUCGCCG